AGAGCGAACGCUGGCGGCAGGCCUAACACAUGCAAGUCGAGCGCCCGUAGCAAUACGGGAGCGGCAGACGGGAUAGUAACACGUGGGAACGCGCCCUUCGGUUCGGAAUAACUCAGGGAAACUUGAGCUAAUACCGAAUACGCCCUUACGGGGAAAGAUUUAUUGCCGAAGGAACGGCCCGCGUCCGAUUAGCUAGUUGGUGAGGUAAUGGCUCACCAAGGCUACGAUCGGUAGCUGGUCUGAGAGGAUGACCAGCAUCACUGGGACUGAGACACGGCCCAGACUCCUACGGGAGGCAGCAGUGGGGAAUAUUGGGCAAUGGGCGCAAGCCUGACCCAGCCACGCCGCGUGAGUGAUGAAGGCCUUCGGGUCGUAAAGCUCUGUGGGGAGGGACGAAUAAGCCCGGUAUUAACGACCACCGGGCCCUGACGGUACCUCCUUAGCAAGCACCGGCUAACCCUGCGCCAGCAGCCGC
This 475-nucleotide ribosomal RNA is filed under the name uncultured bacterium. Its description in RNAcentral is "SSU rRNA". It matches the Rfam family "Bacterial small subunit ribosomal RNA", at positions 26 to 518 of the family's 1533-position model. The record is from RNAcentral.